AAGAGACGUUGCCCUUCGGGGUAUACCUCCCACCCUUUGUUUAUUAUACCUUUGUUGCUUUGGCGGGCCCGUCCUCGGACCACCGGCUUCUGCUGGUCAGUGCCCGCCAGAGGACCUAAAACUCUGUUUGUUAAUAUUGUCUGAGUACUAUAUAAUAGUCUA
RNAcentral lists this unclassified non-coding RNA (162 nucleotides) under soil metagenome. Its description in RNAcentral is "partial internal transcribed spacer 1". The record is from RNAcentral.